UCGAUUAGUUUGAUCAUGGCUCAGAACGAACGCUGGCGGCAGGCUUAACACAUGCAAGUCGAACGGUUGUAGCAAUACAGCAGUGGCGCACGGGUGAGUAACGCGUGGGAAUGUACCCUUGAGUUCGGAAUAACAGCGGGAAACUGCUGCUAAUACCGGAUAUUCUCUUCGGAGGAAAGAUUUAUCGCUCAAGGAUCAGCCCGCGUCAGAUUAGCUAGUUGGUGAGGUAAUGGCUCACCAAGGCUCCGAUCUAUAGCUGGUCUGAGAGGACGACCAGCCACACUGGAACUGAGACACGGUCCAGACUCCUACGGGAGGCAGCAGUGGGGAAUAUUGGACAAUGGGCGAAAGCCUGAUCCAGCCAUGCCGCGUGAAUGAUGAAGGCCUUAGGGUUGUAAAGUUCUUUUGCCAGGGAAGAUAAUGACGGUACCUGGAGAAUAAGCACCGGCUAACUUCGUGCCAGCAGCCGCGGUAAUACGAAGGGUGCUAGCGUUGUUCGGAAUUACUGGGCGUAAAGCGCGCGUAGGCGGUUAUACAAGUCAGAGGUGAAUCCCAGGGCUCAACCCUGGAACUGCCUUUGAAACUGUAUAGCUGGAGUGUGUGAGGGGAUAGCGGAAUUGCUAAUGUAGAGGUGAAAUUCGUAGAUAUUAGCAGGAACACCGGUGGCGAAGGCGGCUAUCUGGCACACAACUGACGCUGAGGCGCGAAAGCGUGGGGAUCAAACAGGAUUAGAU
RNAcentral lists this ribosomal RNA (734 nucleotides) under uncultured bacterium. RNAcentral describes it as "bacterial SSU rRNA". It matches the Rfam family "Bacterial small subunit ribosomal RNA", at positions 1 to 783 of the family's 1533-position model. The record is from RNAcentral.